CAAAGUUGCAUAACAAAUUUCAUGAUCCAUAUGUGAAAACUCCAUAGCAUCCAUACAUCCAAAAUUCCAUAGCAUCCAUAUAUACAUAUAGUUCCAUAGCAUCCAUACAUACAUAGCUCCAUAGCAACAACGAUACUUUGCGGGCAUUAGUAAGUAGUAUUUGGCACUAAAACAAAUGCCUUCAUGUCCAUAUCGUAGUCCAAAGAGCAUCAGUGUGGCAAUGGGUGGGUUCAUCCUCCUGGUUGUAAUCACCGUCGACGUCCUCGUCCUCCCGUCAUCGUCCUACUACAAUGUAAAUAAAUAGCAACACCAGAAAAUCACAAAGUAAUGACAUUUUUUGCAAGGUAC
Molecule: long non-coding RNA, 348 nt
Filed under: Hordeum vulgare
Lineage: Eukaryota; Viridiplantae; Streptophyta; Magnoliopsida; Poales; Poaceae
Description: long non-coding RNA (HVUL_LNC005222)
Source: RNAcentral